GAGUAUACAUCGGAACGUGUCCUGGAGUGGGGGAUAGCCCGGCGAAAGCCGGAUUAAUACCGCAUACGCUCUAUGGAGGAAAGCGGGGGAUCUUCGGACCUCGCGCUCAAGGGGCGGCCGAUGGCAGAUUAGCUAGUUGGUGGGGUAAAGGCCUACCAAGGCGACGAUCUGUAGCUGGUCUGAGAGGACGACCAGCCACACUGGGACUGAGACACGGCCCAGACUCCUACGGGAGGCAGCAGUGGGGAAUUUUGGACAAUGGGGGCAACCCUGAUCCAGCAAUGCCGCGUGUGUGAAGAAGGCCUUCGGGUUGUAAAGCACUUUUGUCCGGAGAGAAAACUUCUGGGUUAAUACCCCGGGAGGAUGACGGUACCGGAAGAAUAAGCACCGGCUAACUACGUGCCAGCAGCCGCGGUAAUACGUAGGGUGCAAGCGUUAAUCGGAAUUACUGGGCGUAAAGCGUGCGCAGGCGGUUCGCUAAGACAGAUGUGAAAUCCCCGGGCUUAACCUGGGAACUGCAUUUGUGACUGGCGGGCUAGAGUAUGGCAGAGGGGGGUAGAAUUCCACGUGUAGCAGUGAAAUGCGUAGAGAUGUGGAGGAAUACCGAUGGCGAAGGCAGCCCCCUGGGCCAAUACUGACGCUCAUGCACGAAAGCGUGGGGAGCAAACAGGAUUAGAUACCCUGGUAGUCCACGCCCUAAACGAUGUCAACUAGUUGUCGGGUCUUCAUUGACUUGGUAACGUAGCUAACGCGUGAAGUUGACCGCCUGGGGAGUACGGUCGCAAGAUUAAAACUCAAAGGAAUUGACGG
This 810-nucleotide ribosomal RNA is filed under the name uncultured Burkholderia sp. Its description in RNAcentral is "bacterial SSU rRNA". It matches the Rfam family "Bacterial small subunit ribosomal RNA", at positions 108 to 916 of the family's 1533-position model. The record is from RNAcentral. Lineage: Bacteria; Pseudomonadati; Pseudomonadota; Betaproteobacteria; Burkholderiales; Burkholderiaceae.